This 495-nucleotide long non-coding RNA is filed under the name Setaria italica (foxtail millet). RNAcentral's name for it is "long non-coding RNA (SITA_LNC006398)". The record is from RNAcentral. Lineage: Eukaryota; Viridiplantae; Streptophyta; Magnoliopsida; Poales; Poaceae.
CAAGGAAGCAAGAGAAUAAGCAGAUCAAGGAAAAGGCUCUGUUUGACUGUGAGCGUGGAGGAGCACCGAAGGCAACGACUGACCAGUUCAAAUGUGGCAGGUGUGGCCAGCGGAAGACGACUUACUAUCAACUCCAGACUCGGAGUGCUGAUGAACCGAUGACAACAUUUGUGACAUGUGUGAACUGCAACAAUCACUGGAAGUUCUGCUGAGUGGCCAUCCUGCUUAAAUGUUUGCGUAGUUGUGCUGAGCACCAGCCUGCUAAAAUGCGUGCUCUGCUAGCUAGGGCUGUCAUUUGAAUUUGACAGGACAGGUUGGACUCAGUUUUUCGUCCACUAGGAGCCUUUUUCCUCUUCCCUGCUUUUCGCUCUCUGCGAACCUGAUUUAUUCAGAUUGUACUAGUUGAACUCAUAAAUGUUGUUGACUUAAUUAUCAUCACCUGUUGUACCCAUCAGUUUUGGAUGGCUAUGUGGUUCAUUGUAAAUGAGAUCGUGC